Molecule: ribosomal RNA, 1029 nt
Filed under: uncultured archaeon
Lineage: Archaea
Description: bacterial SSU rRNA
Rfam family: Archaeal small subunit ribosomal RNA
Source: RNAcentral
CCUCGGGGCGCAGCAGGCGCGAAACCUCCGCAAUGCGGGCAACCGCGACGGGGGGACCCCCAGUGCCGUGGCACAGCCACGGCUUUUCCGGAGUGUAAAAAGCUCCGGGAAUAAGGGCUGGGCAAGGCCGGUGGCAGCCGCCGCGGUAAUACCGGCGGCCCAAGUGGUGGCCGCUAUUAUUGGGCCUAAAGCGUCCGUAGCCGGGCCCGUAAGUCCCUGGCGAAAUCCCACGGCUCAACCGUGGGGCUUGCUGGGGAUACUGCGGGCCUUGGGACCGGGAGAGGCCGGGGGUACCCCUGGGGUAGGGGUGAAAUCCUAUAAUCCCAGGGGGACCGCAGUGGCGAAGGCGCCCGGCUGGAACGGGUCCGACGGUGAGGGACGAAGGCCAGGGGAGCGAACCGGAUUAGAUACCCGGGUAGUUCUGGCUGUAAAGGAUGCGGGCUAGGUGUCGGGCGAGCUUCGAGCUCGCCCGGUGCCGGAGGGAAGCCGUUAAGCCCGCCGCCUGGGGAGUACGGCCGCAAGGCUGAAACUUAAAGGAAUUGGCGGGGGAGCACUACAAGGGGUGCAGCGUGCGGUUUAAUUGGAUUCAACGCCGGGAACCUCACCGGGGGCGACGGCAGGAUGAAGGCCAGGCUGAAGGUCUUACCGGACGCGCCGAGAGGAGGUGUAUGGCCGCCGUCAGCUCGUACCGUGAGGCGUCCACUUAAGUGUGGUAACGAGCGAGACCCGCGCCCCCAGUUGCCAGUCCUCCCCGCUGGGGAGGAGGCACUCUGGGGGGACCGCCGGCGAUAAGCCGGAGGAAGGAGCGGGCGACGGUAGGUCAGUAUGCCCCGAAACCCCCGGGCUACACGCGCGCUACAAUGGGCGGGACAAUGGGAACCGACCCCGAAAGGGGAAGGGAAUCCCCUAAACCCGCCCUCAGUUCGGAUCGCGGGCUGCAACUCGCCCGCGUGAAGCUGGAAUCCCUAGUACCCGCGUGUCAUCAUCGCGCGGCGAAUACGUCCCUGCUCCUUGCACUCACCGCCCGUC